Molecule: ribosomal RNA, 481 nt
Filed under: uncultured bacterium
Lineage: Bacteria
Description: partial 16S ribosomal RNA
Rfam family: Bacterial small subunit ribosomal RNA
Source: RNAcentral
GACGAACGUUGGCGGCGUGCUUAAUACAUGCAAGUCCACUGAAGCAGUGGUAGCAAUAUCGCUGUGGAGGUGGCGCACGGGUGAGUAACACGUAGGUAAUCUGCCUUCAGGUCUGGCAUAACUCCGGGAAACCGGGGCUAAUAGCAGAUGAUGCAGCGGCUCGACAUCGAGACAGUUGUUAAAGCUAUGGCGCCUGAAGAUGAGCCUGCGUCUGAUUAGCUAGUUGGCGGGGUAACGGCCCACCAAGGCAACGAUCAGUAGCUGGUCUGAGAGGAUGAUCAGCCACACUGGAACUGAGACACAGUCCAGACUCCUACGGGAGGCAGCAGUAAGGAAUAUUGCUCAAUGGGAGAAAUCCUGAAGCAGCAACGCCGCGUGAGGGACGAAGGGCUUUUGCUUGUAAACCUCUGUAGUGAGAGAAAAAAAUCCCAAUCUUUGGGACAUGAUGGUAUCUCAAAAGUAAGCCCCGGCUAACUACGUG